This 204-nucleotide long non-coding RNA is filed under the name Phoenix dactylifera (date palm). RNAcentral describes it as "long non-coding RNA (PDAC_LNC011685)". The record is from RNAcentral. Lineage: Eukaryota; Viridiplantae; Streptophyta; Magnoliopsida; Arecales; Arecaceae.
AAAAAAGUUAAUCAAACCUUUUUCCCAUACAAAAAUAAUUAUCUAAUCAGGACCAAAACCUAUUUAAUUAUAGCCUUAGCUUGAUUACAACUCCAUCAGGUUACUAAACCGGGUCAACCCAAUCCCCUGUUUUCAUGAAAGAUCGCAACCAGGAGAGAGACGAGUUCAGAAUCUAUUUUAAGAAAAGAAUUAUUUACUUAUUAC